Molecule: ribosomal RNA, 272 nt
Filed under: uncultured Alphaproteobacteria bacterium
Lineage: Bacteria; Pseudomonadati; Pseudomonadota; Alphaproteobacteria
Description: partial 16S ribosomal RNA
Rfam family: Bacterial small subunit ribosomal RNA
Source: RNAcentral
GAGUUUGAUCAUGGCUCAGAACGUACGCUGGCGGCACGCCUAAUACAUGCAAGUCGAACGAAGUAGCAAUACUUAGUGGCAGACGGGUGAGUAACAUGUGGGUAUCUUCCCUUUGGUGAGGAAUAACACGAGGAAACUUGUGCUAAUACCUCAUAAGUCUUUACGGAGAAAGCUUUAUGCGCCAUUGGAUGAGCCUGCACUUGAUUAGUUGGUGGGGUAAUGGCCUACCAAGACUUUGAUCAAUAGCUGAUUUGAGAGGAUGAUCAGCCACA